UUCCAUCUCGCCGAGCAAUGCUCUCUCGUGUCAUCAAGGUACAGGACGUACAUGUAUGGCGUCGCUCGCGGUUACAUCCCAAUGACGCGUAGGAAUGGCUGUAUAAAAUGGAGGAGCCAUCGCAGUGAACACCAUUCGUCCCUUACAAGUCGCACAGCAAACCACCAUCUCCGAAAGGAAUAGUUCUUAAGUAACUUUACGUCGAUUUUAAAACUUUAAACAUGAAGUUCGGAUUCGUUGUGGUUUUAACAGUUUUAUUAAUAAUAGGCAUUACAGAGUCAGUGCCAGUGAAACGGGAUGCUGACGACAGGGCCUACCAACUUCUCAAACGGUUCCUCGCCAAACGUGUUCUCGAACAACAGUCUGCCGAAGCAAUGGACCAACCAGCCCAGAAACGCCAAUUAUGUGGUGAAUUAGGCGGCUUUUCCGUUCACUGUUUCUAAACCGAGUUUUAUCGGAGAAAUCUAAAGACGGGUUUCCGUAAGAGCCUUGAUGAUGAGGAGUUUCAAUGAAGGACUGUUUGUAAAUACCGGGACUGCAUGGCGGCUACGCGGAAAGUCAUGGCGUUCUCACAAGAAGAUUUCACUGGCGAGAACGAAUUUGUUACAAAAUUCUAGUCGUUUUUAGGAAACCUGUGACACAGCAAUAGACUAUUUGACAUUUCGUUCAAACCAAUCGCGGGGUCCACAAUAUUCUUUUGGACGAUCACUGUUUACUUGAGUAAAUGGAAACUGAUGACGUCGAAGAACUUUUUCGCUCUUACUCGGACUUAACUAUUUCAACGCAUCUGAUAAUGGAUGCUUGACUAAAUUAGGAUAGCAUGUCGGUCAGUUUUAGCCCUUCGCCAGUCCCGAGUAGGGUGGAACAUACAGCGAGUGAAUCCAGCGUUCGCACUAAAAUAAUUACCGGUACAAAACGUCACAAAUUUAACUUCUCAUCUUAAAAAAAUAUCAGCAUACAUCUUUUAAGAUAUCACAGUGUUCAAAAUUUUUUCAUUCCAAACUUUGAUUUAACUGGUCAAUAUUAGACCAUAUUGUCCAUGCUGAAAACUCGUAAUGCCGAUGGAUGUGGAUAUUUCCCGACCAAAUAUUUGUUUGCUAGCUCUAUUGUUUUCGAGUUGUAGCGUAUUGUAAUGAAACCUGUGUAUCAAUUCUCUCAUUAUGUUGUUUACACCCUCGACAAAAUGGAACAUUUGUAUAGCUUCAAGGACGUAGGUUUUCUCAUUCUCAGUAUCGUUGAUCGACUAUUAACAAUUAGUAUGCCUUCGGCAAUAAAUUCCAUUGCACAUUUCCACGGGAAUGAACAUUUGAAUUUAUUCAUCUCUUCUUACCUGCGCAAUCAAAGUUUUGCAGAGAAAAUUCGUCCAAAGUUCAGUCGACUUUUUGUGUCUUUUGCUUACCAAUACCGCCAUAAUAAAUGUGAACUCCUUUGAACCUUUUUAUCAUCAGAAA
Long non-coding RNA from Lineus longissimus, 1451 nucleotides. RefSeq lists it as uncharacterized. The record is from RefSeq and is a predicted model, not a curated record. Lineage: Eukaryota; Metazoa; Nemertea; Pilidiophora; Heteronemertea; Lineidae. The transcript is spliced from 2 exons.